CCUACGGGAGGCAGCAGUGAGGAAUAUUGGUCAAUGGACGAGAGUCUGAACCAGCCAAGUAGCGUGAAGGAUGACUGACCUAUGGGUUGUAAACUUCUUUUAUAUGGGAAUAAAAUGUUCCACGUGUGGGAUUUUGUAUGUACCAUCUGAAUAAGGAUCGGCUAACUCCGUGCCAGCAGCCGAGGUAAUACGGAGGUUCCGAGCGUUAUCCGGAUUUAUUGGGGUUAAAGGGAGCGUAGGUGGAUUGUUAAGUCAGUGGUGAAAGUUUGCGGCUCAACCGUAAAAUUGCAGUUGAAACUGGCAGUCUUGAGUACAGUAGAGGUGGGCGGAAUUCGUGGUGUAGCGGUGAAAUGCUUAGAUAUCACGAAGAACUCCGAUUGCGAAGGCAGUUCACUGGACUGCAACUGACACUGAGGCUCGAAAGUGUGGGUAUCAAACAGGAUUAGAUACCCGUGUAGUC
Molecule: ribosomal RNA, 460 nt
Filed under: uncultured bacterium
Lineage: Bacteria
Description: partial 16S ribosomal RNA
Rfam family: Bacterial small subunit ribosomal RNA
Source: RNAcentral